RNAcentral lists this ribosomal RNA (214 nucleotides) under Escherichia coli. RNAcentral's name for it is "partial 23S ribosomal RNA". It matches the Rfam family "Bacterial large subunit ribosomal RNA", at positions 2717 to 2925 of the family's 2925-position model. Lineage: Bacteria; Pseudomonadati; Pseudomonadota; Gammaproteobacteria; Enterobacterales; Enterobacteriaceae. The record is from RNAcentral. RNAcentral also lists the same sequence under 1 other name.
CGGGUUGUCAUGCCAAUGGCACUGCCCGGUAGCUAAAUGCGGAAGAGAUAAGUGCUGAAAGCAUCUAAGCACGAAACUUGCCCCGAGAUGAGUUCUCCCUGACUCCUUGAGAGUCCUGAAGGAACGUUGAAGACGACGACGUUGAUAGGCCGGGUGUGUAAGCGCAGCGAUGCGUUGAGCUAACCGGUACUAAUGAACCGUGAGGCUUAACCUU